This 461-nucleotide ribosomal RNA is filed under the name uncultured bacterium. Its description in RNAcentral is "bacterial SSU rRNA". It matches the Rfam family "Bacterial small subunit ribosomal RNA", at positions 338 to 795 of the family's 1533-position model. The record is from RNAcentral.
CCUACGGGGGGCUGCAGUCGAGGAUCUUUAGCAAUGGGCGAAAGCCUGACUAUGCGACGCCGCGUGAGGGAUGAAGGUUUUCGGAUCGUAAACCUCUUUCGAUGGGGAAGAAUGUCCAGGCUUAACCGUCUGGAUUGACGGUACCUAGAGAAGAAGCCACGGCCAACUCCGUGCCAGCAGCCGCGGUAAUACGGGGGUGGCGAGCGUUACUCGGAUUUAUUGGGUGUAAAGGGCAGGUAGGCGUCCUGUCAAGUUUCAGGUGAAAUCCUGCGGCUCAACCGCAGAACUGCCUGAAAAACUGUCAGGAUUGAGGCCGGAAGAGGAGAGCGGAAUUCCCGGUGUAAGGGUGAAAUCUGUAGAUAUCGGGAGGAACACCAGUGGCGAAAGCGGCUCUCUGGUCCGGCUCUGACGCUGAACUGCGAAAGCUUGGGGAGCAAACAGGCUUAGAUACCCUUGUAGUC